Molecule: ribosomal RNA, 374 nt
Filed under: Aeromonas veronii
Lineage: Bacteria; Pseudomonadati; Pseudomonadota; Gammaproteobacteria; Aeromonadales; Aeromonadaceae
Description: bacterial SSU rRNA
Rfam family: Bacterial small subunit ribosomal RNA
Source: RNAcentral
GGGGAUAACUACUGGAAACGGUAGCUAAUACCGCAUACGCCCUACGGGGGAAAGCAGGGGACCUUCGGGCCUUGCGCGAUUGGAUGAACCCAGGUGGGAUUAGCUAGUUGGUGAGGUAAUGGCUCACCAAGGCGACGAUCCCUAGCUGGUCUGAGAGGAUGAUCAGCCACACUGGAACUGAGACACGGUCCAGACUCCUACGGGAGGCAGCAGUGGGGAAUAUUGCACAAUGGGGGAAACCCUGAUGCAGCCAUGCCGCGUGUGUGAAGAAGGCCUUCGGGUUGUAAAGCACUUUCAGCGAGGAGGAAAGGUUGGUAGCUAAUAACUGCCAGCUGUGACGUUACUCGCAGAAGAAGCACCGGCUAACUCCGUGC